Lagopus muta (rock ptarmigan) is the source of this 4111-nucleotide long non-coding RNA. RefSeq lists it as uncharacterized. The record is from RefSeq and is a predicted model, not a curated record. NCBI's taxonomy places the organism in Eukaryota, Metazoa, Chordata, Aves, Galliformes, Phasianidae. The transcript has 3 exons.
AUAACAGAAAGAGCCGUGUGUGAACCAAGGAGAUAAGGAAGUUCUGCUGAGUCUUUGCACCAAGGAAACUGGAGGUCCCGCUUGGAAUCGAUCACUGAAUACAUAACACACUUCUGGGAAACUUCUGCGUAUGUAACACAAGUAAUGCAUAUAAACUGAAGAUCCUUUGUGUAAGCUGUGCAUAAUAGCAGGAUUACUCUUAUGCAUCCACUGUUGACAUUGAAGAACAUCUGCUUUAUAACACUCCAACACGAGCCUUAGAGAGUUUCACACCCAACUGUCUUAGGGCACCAUGUGCUUUGAGUUCUCUGAUGCUUUUGUCUGAGACUUUAUAGCAGAAAUGCCAAGUCAUGGCCUGAAGCAGUGAUGGAGCACCUGGUGGGAAGGCAGGGCCAGCCCAGGGGAGCUCAGGUGCGAGCAAUGCACUGAGUAACCAGAAGGGCUGGAGCCAGGAACCUCCCCUUCCCAGCCCUCAUUUAAGGGCUGGCAGUGGAGAUGAGAGAAUCUCUCUGGAGAUCCCUGCCUACCUGAGGUUUUCUGAAGACGUUUCUUUUGGCAACCAUGAAAUUUGGGAAAACAUAGAGGACCUCUGUUGCUUUUAAAGUCAACUGUAUUUUCAAGGCAAAAUAGAUAAUGGUUCUGCCUGCUUCCCACUUGUCUAAGUCUUAACAGAAAGAGCAUUGAUCUUAGUAAGACUAAAGCUAUUCAGCAAAGAUAACUGAAUAAGGGACACCAUAUCAGCUACUUGAGAUGAUUCAGUAAUUCAGGAACAAGGAAAAGAUCGGAGGAAAGCAGGGUGUAACAACAAGCGAGAGGAGAAAACAGCAAAACAACACGAGGGUCUCCUUGCUCCUAUCAGCUGGGAGCUACUGGCCAACAACAGCCCAUCCAACAACCAGGAAACAGAGCUGUGGGAAGGGCUGAGUCAUGGCCAAGGGGGGAGGAAACAAGGACAGCAGCUGUACUGGGGACCAAGACUCAGGACUCCCCCACCCAGUCCUGAAAGCUCAGGCUAUGGUUAAGCUUUCCUGACAUCUUUCCACGUGACAGCCUUCGUUCCGUGACCUAAAUGAAAUCGAUUGUACAAUAAUUCUCCUGGUUACAGCAACCUUUGCCCGUAAUCUCAAAGAUUACACCUACUCUCCAGCUGCGGGGCUUUGGGAAGACACAGAGGGAUUUCUGAGCACCAAGGGCUUAUUUUUAAUGCGAUUGCUUGGCUGCUCCUCCCAAAUGACUGAGGGGGGCUGUGUCUUUCUAAUCAGCUGCUUUAGAGUAUGUUAAGAAGAAAAGGCUCUGGAUCUCCUUUGCCCCCCAAGGUCCAUCAGAUUGGUGCUGCAGGGUAACAAAGGCCCUCUGGUGGAGAUCUUCCACCUCAAUGCAGAGACUGGGAUCAAAGCAGGUGUGGGACAUGCACAACGGGAAUGUUUGGUGCAGGGUGGAGGGCCCACCAUCUCAGCACAUAACUUUGAACGCUCUUAAACUAUAAGAUACUGUUCCACCUCCAUUGCAGCCCUGUGCCUGUUAGGCUGCCAGGCAGCCUUUUCUUUCCCAGAACACAGCAGAUGUCAGGCAGACCACAGCCACGAGACACCUGGGAGUGAAUGAGCUGAAAGCAAUGCUUCAGCAGCAGAGAAGAGCUUCUGUCAGCGUUCUGUGCCAGAAGUAAAAGCGGAGCUCCCCCAGCCUCUGUACUGAUGAGAAAAUGGACUGUGGUUUUUAUGGCCUCUGUGUUAAUUGUGUUCCCUUUGACGUGAGGAGAUGCACACAGUGCAGCAUGCAUGGAUUUGAUGCUGCCUGUGGAAGCUGUGCUGCUGCUCAUGGGACUGAUACAGGGAACAACAGGAAAACAGCAACGGGGAACAACAGGAAAGCAGCGUGAACGUCACGUCCCAAGGAGAAGUUGUGUGCCACGUGUUUUCCGAAGAUAAAACAGGUACAAACAUCUGUUUGUAAAGUGGCACACUCCCAAACCUUGCUCUGAAAUCCUUGGGAGAACAAAUCUCACCUUCAGGCUGCAGUUCUUUGUCUUCACAACGGCUGUAAAACCAGACCCCCAGAAGUGAAAAACAAACCUGAACUCCACAAAGAUCAGUAGAGCAGCUGCAGUUCCCAUGACAAACUACUACCCUCAGUGCACUGGGCAGAAAGAAGAGCACUGUGUGAUUAACUGUUCCCUCUUAGAACAUCAGGCAGCGAUACUAUCAGCACCCACCUGCCGUUCUCCAGUUCCCUGCCCUCCCUGCUCUCAGCAGCUUUGCAUGGGGUCACUCUGGGAGAGCAGCUCCUCGUUGCUGUGUCCUUUCACGUUUCACUUAGAAGCUGGCAAACCUGUCUCAAAUCCUGAAAUUAAACUCAGCCCUGCUGCCUUUGUUAUUACUUUAAUCUUUACAUUGCUUAAAUACUAUUUGCUCCUGCUCUCAGCUGGCAGCCAUCAAUCUUAUCCCAGUGCAAAGUAAACGUGUCUUCGUGUAGAAAAACUGUCUCAUCGCUGUCAGACACUCAGCACAUGCACAUCCUAUGGUAAUACCAGCAGUAAUGCACGGCCUGGCUGCAGGCCCUACAGAAAUUAUACCAAAAGACUGUUGAAGAGUUAGCUUCUUUCAGGCUAAGUUAUUGUCUUCUGAUUAAAGCAAUUGUAAGAAAACAAACUGAGCUUUAUAAUGGCACUACAGGCAGAUGUGGAAGACUUGAUAUCAUUUUUCUUCUUACCUAUAGCAAAAAGAAGACCUUAGAUCUGAGCAGCUACAGAAGACUGCCUGCCUCCUUCCACAGCCACUUGAGCUGGAAGACUUCUGCACCAAUGACACAACUUAAAUGCAAGUAUUUGUCUAAUUCUAAAUUGAAGGGGCAGGGGAGCCUGCAGCCUCCUCUUGUGAUUUUGGUGAGUAAGGCUGGCACUGAGAGCGAUUGUUUGAGAAUGCAGAACCCCCAGAGCACAGUACUGGUGCUGUGGGCACAUCCUGUCAGAACACCUUUAGCUGGAGGAGAGCAUCCACUAGUUGUGCUCCAUCCUGAGGAGAGCAGUAACCGUGCUUUGCAUCACUGCAUGACAUCGCAUGCGCAAAGCGUGGUCAGCUGGGAGGUGAGCUCCAAAAAUAUGCUCAGAAAAUGAGACCUGGCACUGACAGAGACACGUUCCCUCCUUAACAGUAGCUCCAGUCAGAGCAGGUGCCUGAGGAACUGAACUUCAGGUGGACUGAAGUUGUGUAGGACCUGUUGAGGGAGCACAGCAAGACCUCGGCACAGCCUUCUGUCUUGGGAAGGGCUGCGGCUCUGAAGAAGUUCCCUCUCUGCUGCCUGUCCCAGUCACACUAUAGAACACCCAGGGACAACAGAGCAGCCACGCUGCUAGCUGCUCCAGAGAUCUCAUGGGCACGUGGAUGUGGCUGCACCAUUCAGCCAGGGAAACCUCUGGGGAAGUUCUCAGCCUGCACUUCCCACGGUGACCCGAGGUUGUUCUGUUCCUGAGUACGAAUGAGCGACACGUUAUGGUCAUCCUGUACUCACACACCCACGCUCGCAGAGACCCAGAAAGGCUUCAGCCUGAGCGUGGCUCCUUCAGGCAGCCCAGAGGACAGCAGCACAAGGGGCCCGCAGCUCCCAGCAGCCGAACGCCUCCGUAACAGCUGUGGCAGCUGCCGCUCCGAUCCCCGUGGGAGGCAGAACCGAGGUCUGUGCGCUCCCGUGGCUGGAGCCUCCUGCCAGUAUUUCCUAACGGGAACGCGCUGUUGCACAACGGCAUCCAUGAGCAGGAAGGGCUCUUCUCGUUUCACGGGGAGCUGCCAACGCGCUGACGGACACCGCCUGCACCGUCCCCACCAGCCGCAGCGUUUCUCUCUCCCCGUCUGUCCCGGCCCCGCUCCCCUUUCCCCGCAGCCCCUCGGCGGGCCGUACGACAGCCUCCGUUCCGCCUAUUUCCGAGCCCGUGCCCUCGCUCGCACACGGUGACAUUUCGGGCCCCGGCACGCCCGACCCUUCCGUCCCCGCGCCGCCGGCACAGCCGGGCCUCCCCGUCCCCCUCCGGCUUCGCCUCCCGAGGCCGCUUUGCCCGCGGCACGGAGCCCCGGCUUUCCGUCUCUCGGCGCCCCGCGCGCUGCCCUUCCCGGCCCCG